CCUACGGGAGGCAGCAGUGGGGAAUAUUGCACAAUGGGCGCAAGCCUGAUGCAGCGACGCCGCGUGAGGGAUGACGGCCUUCGGGUUGUAAACCUCUUUCAGUAGGGAAGAAGCGGAAGUGACGGUACCUGCAGAAGAAGCGCCGGCUAACUACGUGCCAGCAGCCGCGGUAAUACGUAGGGCGCAAGCGUUAUCCGGAAUUAUUGGGCGUAAAGAGCUCGUAGGCGGUUUGUCGCGUCUGCCGUGAAAGUCCGGGGCUCAACUCCGGAUCUGCGGUGGGUACGGGCAGACUAGAGUGAUGUAGGGGAGACUGGAAUUCCUGGUGUAGCGGUGAAAUGCGCAGAUAUCAGGAGGAACACCGAUGGCGAAGGCAGGUCUCUGGGCAUUAACUGACGCUGAGGAGCGAAAGCAUGGGGAGCGAACAGGAUUAGAUACCCUGGUAGUCCAUGCCGUAAACGUUGGGCACUAGGUGUGGGGGACAUUCCACGUUUUCCGCGCCGUAGCUAACGCAUUAAGUGCCCCGCCUGGGGAGUACGGCCGCAAGGCAAAACUCAAAGGAAUUGACGG
Molecule: ribosomal RNA, 567 nt
Filed under: uncultured bacterium
Lineage: Bacteria
Description: bacterial SSU rRNA
Rfam family: Bacterial small subunit ribosomal RNA
Source: RNAcentral